This is a microRNA precursor of Gossypium arboreum, 145 nucleotides long. It matches the Rfam family "MIR7502 microRNA precursor family". NCBI's taxonomy places the organism in Eukaryota, Viridiplantae, Streptophyta, Magnoliopsida, Malvales, Malvaceae. The record is from Rfam.
UGUUAAAAAUUGAAUCCAUUUGUAUUGUUAGAAACUGAUGUAGCUAACGGAAUAACCAGAUAAUAAUAUACGACAUGUCAUGUGUACCUUAUGUUGACAUAUGAAGACCAAAUUUUAACAACAGAAAUAGGUGAAAUUUUUAAUA